Molecule: ribosomal RNA, 367 nt
Filed under: uncultured bacterium
Lineage: Bacteria
Description: bacterial SSU rRNA
Rfam family: Bacterial small subunit ribosomal RNA
Source: RNAcentral
AACGAACGCUGGCGGCAUGCCUAACACAUGCAAGUCGAACGGGUGGUAGCAAUACCACCAGUGGCAGACGGGUGCGUAACACGUGGGAACCUGCCCAGAGGUUCGGAAUAGCUGCGGGAAACUGCAGGUAAUACCGAAUGUUGCCUGAGGGCUAAAGGAGCAAUUCGCCUUUGGAGGGGCCCGCGUCGGAUUAGCUAGUUGGUGGGUAACGGCGUCACCAAGGCGACGAUCCGUAGCNGGUCUGAGAGGAUGGCCAGCCACACCUGGAACUGAGACACGGUCCAGACUCCUACGGGAGGCAGCAGUGGGGAAUAUUGGACAAUGGGGAAACCCGUGAUCCAGCAAUGCCGCGUGGGUGAUGAAGGCC